AUUGAACGCUGGCGGCAGGCCUAACACAUGCAAGUCGAGCGGAUGAAGGGAGCUUGCUCCUGGAUUCAGCGUCGGACGGGUGAGUAAUGCCUAGGAAUCUGCCUGGUAGUGGGGGAUAACGUCCGGAAACGGGCGCUAAUACCGCAUACGUCCUGAGGGAGAAAGUGGGGGAUCUUCGGACCUCACGCUAUCAGAUGAGCCUAGGUCGGAUUAGCUAGUUGGUGGGGUAAAGGCAUACCAAGGCGACGAUCCGUAACUGGUCUGAGAGGAUGAACAGGCACACUGGAAGUGAGACACGAUCCAGACUCCUACGGGAGGAAGCAGUGGGGAAUAUUGGACGAUGGGGGAAAGCCUGAUCCAGCCAUGCCGGGUGUAUGAAGAAGGUCUUCGGAUUGGAAAGCACUUUAAGUUGGGAGGAAGGGCAGUAAGUUAAUACCUUGCUGUUUUGACGUUACCAGCAGAAUAAGCACCGGCUAACUUCGUG
RNAcentral lists this ribosomal RNA (484 nucleotides) under uncultured bacterium. RNAcentral's name for it is "partial 16S ribosomal RNA". It matches the Rfam family "Bacterial small subunit ribosomal RNA", at positions 30 to 507 of the family's 1533-position model. The record is from RNAcentral.